CUCAGCAGCCGCGGUAAUACGAAGGGACCUAGCGUAGUUCGGAAUUACUGGGCGUAAAGCGCGCGUAGGCCGUUGAGUUAGUUAAUUGUGAAAUCCCAAAGCUUAACUUUGGAACUGCAAUUAAAACUGCUCGACUAGAGUUUGAUAGAGGAAAGCGGAAUACAUAGUGUAGAGGUGAAAUUCGUAGAUAUUAUGUAGAACACCAGUUGCGAAGGCGGCUUUCUGGAUCAACACUGACGCUGAGGCGCGAAAGUAUGGGUAGCAAAGAGGAUUAGAUACCCUCGUAGUCCAUACCAUAAACGAUGAUUGCUAGAUGUUGGAAAUUUAUUUUCAGUAUCGCAGCUAACGCAUUAAGCAUCCGCCUGGGGGAGUACGACCGCAAGGUUAAAACUCAAAGGAAAUUGACGG
RNAcentral lists this ribosomal RNA (408 nucleotides) under uncultured bacterium. RNAcentral's name for it is "bacterial SSU rRNA". It matches the Rfam family "Bacterial small subunit ribosomal RNA", at positions 507 to 916 of the family's 1533-position model. The record is from RNAcentral.